Molecule: long non-coding RNA, 2376 nt
Organism: Macaca fascicularis (crab-eating macaque)
Lineage: Eukaryota; Metazoa; Chordata; Mammalia; Primates; Cercopithecidae
Source: Ensembl
UUUUUUUUUUUUGCUGAAAACAGAAAUUUUGUUCACGAGUUAGUUCAAAUACAUUUAUGUAGCUCCCUUAUAUACUAUCAAAGGAGCUCCAACCAUCUGGUAUGUCUGGAAGACACUUCAGUGAGUAGAAAUUAGAAGCCAGCAUUUGAAAUUUUCUACCACAGGGACAUGAAAGCCUAAACCGGCCUUAAAGGGAUAAGAGGAUUUUACAUUUUUAAAAAAUAAAUCAAUUAACAUUCAUUGUCAAACAGCCUACAAGAAAGUUCCACUAGCAUUCUGCAAUUGUAUAGAAUAAGAGAAUAUUUGUUGCUAAUGAUUACAUUCCAGAAAGCAAUAUGUUUAGCAGCUGUUUUUCAAAAGACUUGUCAGGUUUUACUAUUGUUAUUUAAUCCAGGCAUAACUGUGUAACCUUAAACAAAAACUGUGCAUUAUUCAACCAGCUAGUGACAAAUUAUCUUAACAAACUAGAUUAUCUUUUGCUUUUCUGUACAUGAAUUUUUGCUUUUUUAGGCAUUUUGUAUUCCAAUUUUUGUUUUAGAAUUUAGUGCACAUGUAGAAAGGGGAAGAAACCCUUUUGGAUGUUGGUAAUUAUGUACAUCAAAUAAUGUCAUAUAUGAAAUUAAAAGCAGAUCACAAAACUGAGAUUCAUGACUCCAUUUUUACCAAGGGAAGGAAACAAGAACCAUACAGCCAGAAUAAUUCUUCAGAAGCACACUUUGUUAUCAAUUAUAUAACUAAAGAAUCAAAGUAUAUAUAUAUAACUGAAGAGUUAAUCAACAGUAAGACUGUGAUCUACAUCUGAUACCAGUAAGAAGCUAAGAGUAAUAAAUAUCUAUCCUGACAUUCACUAAGUAAAUAAUGAUUAUCAUUUUAAUGAUUAUCAUUUCAAUGAUAAUCAUUAUUUUUUUUCUGUUAUUGUUUUAAAUAGGCAAAAGAGCAAUAAUAAAUGGCAUACAUGGCUCCUUAAAAAGAAGAGGGAUCAACCCAAUUUUCUUCCCAUGAAGAAUAGGAUCAAGAAGAAAGAGGUUUAAAUUGCUCUGUGAGGUAUUUCAGUUCUAAGAUUAAGCUUCCUGAUAAUGAGUUUACAACCCUGGAAUUGCCUAUUGGGAGAGAGAGAGACCACCUUGCCUGAAGUUUGUAAAUAAAUGGAGGGUGACAGCAAUGCCCAAAGGCAAAAGGAUGGAUCAGAUAAAUGACUUCCUUUUAAGGCAUCCUUUCAGAAAUGGAGUUCUUUUCUUUGAAGCCAGGAAAGUUUCUUUGUUUUGUCUCUUAAGGAUCUACACUUGGCAUCAGACCAUUCAGUCUGCUCUUAAUUAAGGAGAAAAGGAACUAAUAUUUGUGUGCUGUUUACCAAGCACUGUACUUUCAACUUAUCUAAUUUUCACAAUAAUCCUGACAGGUCUGUCUCAUAGAUGAGAAGAUUGAUGCUCAAGACAUUGUGCUUUGCCUAAAGUCUCAGCUAAUUUGUGGCAUACUAGGACUCCUCACACCUAAACUAGUGUUUCCCCUUCUAUAUAACUCCCCACAUCACUCUCUGAAGUAUCAAAGUCACCAACCACCAAAGAUUCCAUCAGGAACUAGAACACAGCAUCUCCAAAAAUUCUGCUUUAAAUCAAUGGAAAAGUAAAAUUUUGGCUCAUACCUCAAGAAGUCAAAGAAGUGGUGACUAGCCUUUGUGCUCUGACCUCUUGUCCAAAGGAGUCCAAGAAAGUCUCAAUCAAACUCAAAUAGAUUUGUCACCAUACUGAUUUAAGACCAAUGACUUAAAAAACAAACAAACAAACAAACAAACAAACAAAAAAAGACCAGUGAAGAGCUAUCUAUCAGCCUUGCAAUGGUGAAAGUUAUUUUGCAGGUGGAAUAAUUUGGGUCAUAGGCUUCAUUAGCCAAAAAUUGCUUACAGUUACCUCUAAUUUUCAAGUCAAAAAUACUUGUUUUUAUUGCUUUCCACAUAAAGCAAUUUGAUCUCAGUUCUUUUAAACUUAAGUAUUCUCAAGAGAAUCAAACCAACAAAGGAAAUGUCAUUGAGACUUCUCUAAAAUGGAUCUUGGGGACUGCUUUAUGUCAGUGACCCACCAGCCCAUCUCUCUUGGGAGCUGCAAAACUUCUUGUUGGUCUGUUUGUGAGAACUUUAACAAAAGAUUCUGCUCUGUUAAAAAGGCAUAUCCUAAAAUCUUGAAGGAGACACCCAUUAUUUAUUAAACAGAGCAAGGCCUAUGUUUGGCAAGUGAUAAAUGAAUAAUUUCAUGUAACUUCUACUAAAACAAUACCUUUUGAUUUUUAACUCAAGAACCAAUUUGUGAUUUCAACAGGACAUCAACGAAUGGACUGAUAAAGCAAGUCCAGCAUAGGGCAUAAUGGAGGGUCAGUCUCUUG